AUGUGGGUUCCAAGGCGGUAUCCCAAGCAUACUGGAAGCCUGGUGAUUCUCACUUUUGGGCGGGUCUAUGGAUCCUUUUCGAUUAAGGACGGUUCGGAAAUUAGAAUCUGGGAGGACAAGUGGCUAGGAAAUGCCACACUCCGGGAACACUAUCCAGCUCUAUACAACAUUGUGCAUCGCAAGGGUGAUACUAUCGCCACGGUAAUGGAGUCAUUUCCGCCAAAUGUGACGUUCAGAAGAGAUUUAGUUGGACCCAAACUCCAAUCGUGGUGCAUCCUACUUCAACGGUUGUCCACAGUGCAAUUGUCACAUGGGUCAGAUGUAUUUUGGUGGAACCUACAUGGGAAAGGAUAA
Molecule: ribosomal RNA, 354 nt
Filed under: Triticum aestivum (bread wheat)
Lineage: Eukaryota; Viridiplantae; Streptophyta; Magnoliopsida; Poales; Poaceae
Description: partial small subunit ribosomal RNA
Source: RNAcentral